AAAAUAUAAUUCUUUUAAGCUCUAGAAAACUCUUGGGCAGCUUCUCAACACGAGAGAAGGGCAUGCAAAGAGCUCUUUGGAUCUCUGCCACAGGCCAGUUAGGGAAGGUUUUGUCCCAGGAGAGUAUUUUCUAUCCAGAGUAAUACCUUGCAGCCUUGGAAGGGACCAUGGGGUCCAGUAUGAAGUCAGAGAAAUGGUGAAAAAUUCAUUUGCCACGUUAGAAGGGAAAUGUCAUUACAUGAAACAAGUACAAGCCUCGGCAUGCCCACACGGAAUACAGACGGCACGUUAAAAACAACAAGGACAGUGGCUGUGACCCCUGGGUGAGACUAAUCAGUCCUACACAAAAAGCUCAAUUAGUUUCUUCAGAUAUGUCCAGGAUAGAAUACCGGUUGGACUUUGGACAGAGAACCAUGUAUGGGUUGGAUAAUGGUCUAAUACUGGAAACUUUUUUUUUUAAAUGAAAAGCUGAGAUUCUCACAGACCAGCAUGGUUUCAGGAGUUGGAGCUGUAAGAAAAACACCAAAUUAUCACAAAAUUGAUAACAAACCAAGAAGAGCUGGCAGCAUUGUUGCUCCCGACCAGCUUAAAGCCAUUUCACUUUGUGGUGCAAGUGAGACCAAAAAGCUGCAUCUUUAAUGUGCCUGAGCAUACCUUUCUGAGCAACUCUAGGCCCAGCUUUUUGCCAAACUGGCCUUCCAGCCACUUGGACUUCGAUUUCUUGAGAGCAUAACCUGUGUCCAUCAGGUUGUCUGGGGUGCCAGAUGUUACCUGUUCCCAUCACCUUUUGGCGUUCCCAUUUCCUGAACACUAUUUUCUCUUUUAACUCCAAACCUCCCCAGUCUGAGCAGAAGUUUUCACUCCGGCACUCUGAGGUGAGACCACAUUCAGCUCUCUCACGUGGUCUGCCAGUCGAACCCAGAAAUACUCUGUUCUGACAGGGGUCUGUAUCUGGGCUGUCCGGAAGUGGGGCAGGAACAGGAUUUGGUUCCCCACAGCACUGUCCAAACUGCUUUGUGCAGUAGAUACUGACAGGGCUGGAAGCAACCCUAACAGGCAUCACAGGCCGUGUUUCCACCCUGGUCUCCAUUGGAGGGUGCGUCUGUAAACUCACACCUACACAGGUUUGCAGCUGUCUCUGAGCACCUCUCUGGCGAGGGAGUGGCCAGCCACUGGACAAACUCGUGUGCGCUCAUGUGGAUUUGAUACAACCGCUUUUGAUUGGAACAGGACAGGGCAAUGCAUGCUCCAACCCGCAGUUGCCCCAGGCCACCACCCUGUAUUAAAUGUGAGCACGGUCACAUUGCAGAGCUGCAUCAGCUGUCCCUGGCCCAGUGCUUUUCAUCCCGGAAUAGCGUGUGACUAAUGUGAAGUCGAGAAUGACUAACGUGGAUCUGGGAGCGGUUCUGAUUGAGAGCUAGAGAAGAACUCUCCUGCCAAAAACUUAACCCCGUGCAGUACAUUCAAAGUGAUUCAGCUGAGAUAAAUUAAUAACCGGCAGUUUACUGUUAGGAAUGCAAAACACAUGAACGCAUGACGCCAGUAACCUUUGCUGCCUGUCAGAGAGCAGAGCUGCAGGUUGUUGUGCUGGUUCUGCCGCGCAUUCUUUCAGGAGGUGACACACCUUGUGAGGUCACAUAUGUUUUCCAAAGCUGUUUUCCAGGUCAGACAGCUUUGGGGACAGUUUCAUCACUAUCUACAAGCUUUACCGUCCUCCCAACUGACCAAUGAUUACAGUUCAGCAGACCUGACCCUUCAGUAGCCCCUCUAGAUGUUGAUCAGCAGACUGGCAGGGGAGCUGUUUACAAUCCCUUCCGUCUGUGCCAUGUGAACCCUGGAGCCCCUUUCAGUGCUUCAGUUGUAACCACAAGCUUUCAGUUGGGCUUGGAGCUCAGCAAAACAAAUCCACUCCCAGGCAACAAUUGGCAUGGAAAGGUUAGCUCCAGGGAUAUUUUUCCCUAUCAAAUCUAGUUUAAAUCAGUUUGAACAUUGCUAGAUUCUUACUGCUCCAGCCCCUGCUCCGCACAUGUUUUCUGACUUCAGAUAUGGCUGAGUUCCUAAUGCAGAAUACAGUAAGGUUUUAUAGGCCACUAUUCCCUAAUACAGGCUGGUAACUUUAAAUAUUCUUAUGCCUUUCUUUAAAAUAAACAUUGCAAACGCUCCUGA
Molecule: long non-coding RNA, 2166 nt
Organism: Alligator mississippiensis (American alligator)
Lineage: Eukaryota; Metazoa; Chordata; Crocodylia; Alligatoridae
Exons: 4
Source: RefSeq, a predicted model, not a curated record